AUGAACGCUAGCGGCAGGCUUAAUACAUGCAAGUCGAGGGGCAGCGCAGUGUAGCAAUACAUGGGCGGCGACCGGCAAACGGGUGCGUAACACGUACGCAACCUUCCCGUUACUGUGGGAUAGCCCAGGGAAACUUGGAUUAAUACCACAUAUUGCCAUUGGGAGGCAUCUCUUGAUGGCCAAAGAAUUUCGGUAACGGAUGGGCGUGCGGUUGAUUAGGUAGUUGGCGGGGUAACGGCCCACCAAGCCUACGAUCAAUAGCUGAUGUGAGAGCAUGAUCCGCCACACUGGGACUGAGACACGGCCCAGACUCCUACGGGAGGCAGCAGUGGGGAAUUUUGGACAAUGGGCGAAAGCCUGAUCCAGCCAUGCCGCGUGAGUGAAGAAGGCCUUCGGGUUGUAAAGCUCUUUUGUCAGGGAAGAAACAGCAGCUCUAACACAGUCUGCGAAUGACGGUACCUGAAGAAUAAGCACCGGCUAACUACGUG
Molecule: ribosomal RNA, 488 nt
Filed under: uncultured bacterium
Lineage: Bacteria
Description: bacterial SSU rRNA
Rfam family: Bacterial small subunit ribosomal RNA
Source: RNAcentral